RNAcentral lists this microRNA precursor (86 nucleotides) under Ovis aries (sheep). RNAcentral describes it as "miRNA (ENSOARG00000021986.1)". The record is from RNAcentral. Lineage: Eukaryota; Metazoa; Chordata; Mammalia; Artiodactyla; Bovidae.
UAUUGAGUUGGACAAAAAGUUCAUUCAGGUUUUUCUGUAAGAUUUUAUGGAAAAAUCUGAACAAACUUUUUGGCCAACACAAUACA